RNAcentral lists this transfer RNA (75 nucleotides) under Candidatus Methanophagales archaeon ANME-1-THS. RNAcentral's name for it is "Methanophagales archaeon ANME-1-THS tRNA-Arg". It matches the Rfam family "tRNA". Rfam says of the family: Transfer RNA (tRNA) molecules are approximately 80 nucleotides in length. Lineage: Archaea; Methanobacteriati; Methanobacteriota; Methanomicrobia; Candidatus Methanophagales. The record is from RNAcentral.
GGGCCCGUGGCUUAGCUCGGAUAAAGCACCGGCCCUCUAAGCCGGUGAUCGCGGGUUCAAAUCCCGCCGGGUCCG